This is an RNA transcript of Eubalaena glacialis (North Atlantic right whale), 2270 nucleotides long. It is a transcript of the gene named mucolipin TRP cation channel 1, with no coding region annotated. The record is from RefSeq and is a predicted model, not a curated record. NCBI's taxonomy places the organism in Eukaryota, Metazoa, Chordata, Mammalia, Artiodactyla, Balaenidae. The transcript is spliced from 15 exons.
AGCUGACGCGGGAGGGUUUGAAGCUGCACCGCGAGGGACCGAGGCCGCAGUGACAGCAGCGGGUGUUCAGACGCCGGUUGUACCGCCGCGCCCGCCGGCGUUCGGCGCUCCCCGCCCCGGCAUGGCAGAGCCCGUAGGCCCGCGCGGCUCAGAGACUGAGCGCCUCCUGACACCCAAACCUGGGUAUGGGACCCGGGUGGGGCCUUCCCCAGCCCCUUCAACCCCUCCAGAAGAGGAGGAUCUCCGCCGUCGUCUCAAGUACUUCUUCAUGAGCCCCUGUGAUAAAUUUCGGGCCAAGGGCCGCAAGCCCUUCAAGCUCAUGCUGCAGGUGGUGAAGAUCCUGGUGGUCACCGUGCAGCUCAUCCUGUUUGGGCUCAGCAACCAGCUGGCGGUGACAUUCCGGGAGGAGAACACCAUCGCCUUCCGGCACCUCUUCCUGCUGGGCUACUCGGACGGGGCGGAUGACACCUUCGCGGCCUACACCCGGGAGCAGCUGUACCAGGCCAUCUUCCACGCCGUGGACCAGUACCUGAUGCUCCCCGAUGUGUCCCUGGGGCGGUAUGCUUACGUGCGGGGCGGGGGCGGGCCCUGGGCCAAUGGCUCGGCCCUGGCCCUCUGCCAGUGCUACUACCACCGGGGCCACGUGGACCCAGCCAAUGACACCUUUGACAUCGACCCGAUGGUCGUCACUGACUGUAUCCGGGUGGACCCUCCCGAGAGACCCCCUGUGCCCCCCAGUGAUGAGCUCUCCCUCUUGGAUGGCAGCACCAGUUACAAGAACCUCACGCUCAAAUUCCACAAGCUGAUCAACGUCACCAUCCACUUCCAGCUGAAGACCAUCAACCUCCAGAGCCUGAUCAACAAUGAAAUCCCAGACUGCUACACCUUCAGCAUCCUGGUCACAUUUGACAAUAAGGCACACAGUGGGCGUAUCCCCAUCAGCCUGGAGACCCAGGCCCACAUCCAGGAGUGUAAGCACCCCAGCGUCUUCGGCCAUGGAGACAACAGCUUCCGGCUCCUGUUUGAUGUGGUCGUGAUCCUCACUUGUGCCUUCUCCUUCCUGCUGUGCGCCCGCUCACUGCUCCGAGGCUUCCUGCUGCAGAACGAGUUUGUCAGGUUCAUGCGGCGGCAGCGGGGAAAGGUCAUCAGCCUGUGGGAGCGGCUGGAAUUUGUCAACGGCUGGUACAUCCUGCUGGUCACCAGCGACGUGCUCACCAUCUCAGGCACCAUCAUGAAGAUCGGCAUCGAAGCCAAGAACCUGGCAAGCUAUGACGUCUGCAGCAUCCUCCUGGGCACCUCGACGCUGCUCGUCUGGGUCGGUGUCAUCCGCUACCUGACCUUCUUCCACAAGUACAACGCCCUGCAGAUGACCCGCCAGGAGCCUCUUCCCCAUACCUGCCCACACCAGGCACACCUGUCACUCCACUUGGGCAGGGGUCACAUCCUCAUCGCCACGCUGCGGGUGGCCCUGCCCAGCGUCAUGCGCUUCUGCUGCUGUGUGGCCGUCAUCUACCUGGGCUAUUGCUUCUGCGGCUGGAUUGUGUUGGGGCCCUACCAUGUGAAGUUCCGCUCGCUGUCCAUGGUGUCCGAGUGCCUCUUCUCGCUCAUCAACGGCGAUGACAUGUUCGUGACGUUCGCGGCGAUGCAGGCGCAGCAGGGCCGCAGCAGCCUGGUCUGGCUGUUCUCCCAGCUCUACCUGUACUCCUUCAUCAGCCUGUUCAUCUACAUGGUGCUCAGCCUCUUCAUCGCGCUCAUCACCGGCGCCUACGACACCAUCAAGGAAGGUCUGGAUUGAUGAGACAGGAGCCCAAGAGAGAGAGCACCAGGGAGAAGGAACAGCCAAAGCAAAGACCUAGAGCCAGAAAGGACUUGGAGAGGAGAUAUUGGCCCCGUGAGGUUGGGAGAGAUGAAGACAAGGCUAAAAGCCAGAACAUUCACUGCUGCUGGGAAUGCAGAUGUUUGCACCCCGCCCGCCCCCCGCCCAAGUGGGUGGUUGUCAGGCACCCAGAUUGGGUCAGGCACGGCUCGAGGCGCUGGAGCCACAGCGGAGGGCACCAGCUGACCAAGAUUCAGGGUGUGCACACAUUCAGUGGUCAGGGAAUGUCUCCGGGUGAAGCAAACCACGAGGAACAGCAGGUGGAGGGCACAGCACGGUGCAGAGGCCCAGAGGUGGGAGCCUGGUUGGUCCACGAGGACCGCACCCGGGCGGAGCGGGCGCAGAGGAGAGCGAGCUCCAGGCCUACAUCGCGCAGUGCCAGGACAGCCCCACC